This 677-nucleotide ribosomal RNA is filed under the name Prorocentrum sp. FIU25. RNAcentral's name for it is "eukaryotic LSU rRNA". It matches the Rfam family "Eukaryotic large subunit ribosomal RNA", at positions 38 to 659 of the family's 3401-position model. Lineage: Eukaryota; Dinophyceae; Prorocentrales; Prorocentraceae. The record is from RNAcentral.
GCAUAUAGUAGCGAGAUAGAACUAAUAGGAUUCCCUCAGUAUGGCGAUGAACAGGGAUCAGCUCAGCAUGGAAAUUGGGGCCCUCGGCCUUGAAUUGUAGUCUCGAGAUGCAUCGCCAAUGGAGGCGCAGAUGUAAGCCUCUUGGAAAAGAGCAUCAACGAGGGUGAGAGUCCCGUUUGUCAUCUGCAGUCCCCCAUGCACGGCGUGCCUUCUAAGAGUCGCGUUCCUCGGAAUUGGAGCGUAAAUUGGGUGGUAAAUUUCAUCUCAAGCUAAAUAUUGGUUCGAGACCGAUAGCAAACAAGUACCAUGAGGGAAAGGUGAAAAGGACUUUGAAAAGAGAGUUAAAAGUGCCUGAAAUUGCUGAAAGGGAAGCGAAUGGAACCAGUGUUGCUUGGCGAGAUUGUCAUACGCAUUCGCGUGUGGUGGUUCUUGCCUUGUGUGUCAACGCCAGUUCGCGAUCGAGGAAAACUCUUGGGACAUGGUAGCCUAUCUUCGGGUGGGCGAAUGUGCCUUGUAGAACUCAUUUGCGGACUGAUUACUUCGUGUCUGGUUGCAGCGCUUCUUGUCGCUGAGACGUGCUUGGGCGUGGGAGCUUGCUCCUCGCGCCCAGCGCUCUGGUGACUGGGCGCUCCUGACACAUAGACGAUGACUAAUGGUUCUUUCGACCCGUCUUGAAA